RNAcentral lists this ribosomal RNA (569 nucleotides) under Pseudoacanthocephalus sp. RNAcentral describes it as "12S ribosomal RNA". The record is from RNAcentral. Lineage: Eukaryota; Metazoa; Acanthocephala; Palaeacanthocephala; Echinorhynchida; Pseudoacanthocephalidae.
UAAUUAUAUAAUUAUAGCGGUGUUUGUGAUGGAUUCUUAUUUAAUGCUAUUACAAUAGUGUUUAACCCAGUGUUAGUUGGGGGAAAUGUUGUUAUUUGUAGAUUAAAACUGUGCCAGCGUUAGCGGUUAUACAGUUUACAGAUAUUAUAAUCAUUGGGGGAGUUUAAAGUCUUUUAGUGUAGGUGAAAUUAAGCUGGGGUUUUAAAUAGUGUUAAUUAAUAUUGUGAAAUGGAUUAGAUACCCAUGUAAUAGUAUAAUAGGGUUUGAGGAAUAUUUAAAUAAUAUGGCGGUACUUUUAUGCAGUAGGGGGACUUGGUUGGAUAGUAAACAUGCAGAAACAGAAUAGUGGUGGCUUCUUGUAUGAUUGUUUUGUGUUUAGAUAGCGCUUAAACAAAUAGCAUAGGGGGUAUAUGGUGUUAAACUGAGUUUUAGUUGUAGUAAGUAUACAGGAUUUACAAGUAGCGACAAAACCGUGAAAGAUUUUAAAUGUAAGUACAUAUCGCCCGUCAACACCUCCUAGGUGUAAGUCGUAACAUAGUGAUUCUACUUGAAAGUGGGGUUUCAGAUUA